GUCCUGGCCGUAAACGAUGGGCGCUAGGUGUGGCCGGCGUACAGCCGGCCGUGCCGAAGCUAACGCAUUAAGCGCCCCGCCUGGGGAGUACGUCCGCAAGGAUGAAACUCAAAGGAAUUGACGGGGACCCGCACAAGCGGUGGAGCAUGUGGUUUAAUUCGACGCAACGCGAGGAACCUUACCAGGGUUUGACAUCCAGUGGACAAGGCCCGAGAAGGCCCUCUCUUCGGAGCCGCUGGACAGGUGCUGCAUGGCUGUCGU
This 261-nucleotide ribosomal RNA is filed under the name uncultured bacterium. RNAcentral's name for it is "partial 16S ribosomal RNA". It matches the Rfam family "Bacterial small subunit ribosomal RNA", at positions 793 to 1055 of the family's 1533-position model. The record is from RNAcentral.